GACGAACCGUCCAAACGUUAUUCGGUAUCACUGGGCUUAAAGCGUGCGUAGGCGGCUUGGUAGGUGAGAUGUGAAAUCCCACGGCUCAACCGUGGAAUUGCGUUUCAAACCCCCAAGCUCGAGGAAGAUAGGGGUGAUGGGAACUUAUGGUGGAGCGGUGAAAUGCGUUGAUAUCAUAGGGAACACCGGUGGCGAAAGCGCAUCACUGGAUCUUUUCUGACGCUGAGGCACGAAAGCUAGGGUAGCGAACGGG
RNAcentral lists this unclassified non-coding RNA (253 nucleotides) under uncultured Pirellulaceae bacterium. Its description in RNAcentral is "contains 16S-23S intergenic spacer region". It matches the Rfam family "Bacterial small subunit ribosomal RNA", at positions 524 to 776 of the family's 1533-position model. Lineage: Bacteria; Pseudomonadati; Planctomycetota; Planctomycetia; Pirellulales; Pirellulaceae. The record is from RNAcentral.